This 511-nucleotide ribosomal RNA is filed under the name uncultured bacterium. RNAcentral describes it as "partial 16S ribosomal RNA". It matches the Rfam family "Bacterial small subunit ribosomal RNA", at positions 28 to 523 of the family's 1533-position model. The record is from RNAcentral.
GACGAACGCUGGCGGCGCGCCUAAUACAUGCAAGUCGAGCGGAAGUUGGAGAGCUUGCUCUUCAACUUUAGCGGCGGACGGGUGAGUAACACGUGGGCAACCUGCCCUGCAGAUCGGGAUAACUCCGGGAAACCGGUGCUAAUACCGAAUAGUUUUCGCCACCCCCUGGUGGCGUACGGAAAGACGGUUUCGGCUGUCACUGCAGGAUGGGCCCGCGGCGCAUUAGCUAGUUGGUGGGGUAACGGCCCACCAAGGCGACGAUGCGUAGCCGACCUGAGAGGGUGAUCGGCCACACUGGGACUGAGACACGGCCCAGACUCCUACGGGAGGCAGCAGUAGGGAAUCUUCCGCAGUGGACGAAAGUCUGACGGAGCAACGCCGCGUGAGUGACGAAGGUUUUCGGAUCGUAAAACUCUGUUGUGAGGGAAGAACAAGUACCAACUAACUACUGGUACCUUGACGGUACCUCACCAGAAAGCCACGGCUAACUACGUGCCAGCAGCCGCCGUAA